This 364-nucleotide unclassified non-coding RNA is filed under the name Hevea brasiliensis (rubber tree). The record is from RNAcentral. Lineage: Eukaryota; Viridiplantae; Streptophyta; Magnoliopsida; Malpighiales; Euphorbiaceae.
AGAAACGUGCCAGGAGUACAUUCAGAUGGCAAUAGACAUUCAUCCAGGUAAAGACAUGACGCAUCACCAUUAAGAACAAUUUUCUCUUUUAUCUCAGGACCUUGAGCAGCACUUACAUCAUCUACAGUACUACUUUUCUCAGAAUAUCUUCCCAAACCACAAGAAUGAGAUAGUUCCUGCAAGAAUNNNNNNNNNNAGCUGUGAUGCUCCCAAAAAGCAAAUGCACAAGGGUGUCUGGUUUUUGACAUGGUUUAGAAGCAGAGAACCAGAAGCAAGAGUCUGUAGCUCAUCCAUUGUAAGUUGUAUCACCUUGUUUAGAUGGCUUGCAGCAAGAUACUUGCGUUUAAUAAGUGCCUCAAAUACA